CUGAAAACCUACAGGACAGUAGAUCUCUAGGAAGAGGGUUGGGCAGCCCUGUGUUAGAGGGAACACUCGCAGCACCACUAACCUUGACUGAGGGGAAUGGGGGAGCAAAGGAUCAACCUUCAAAGCCACAUAGUCAACAUACUUCGUCAACAACACCCAGGUGGACAUGAUGCAAACUAUACCACACCCCUGGUUAUCCCUCCUCUGGGUAUUGAGCUGAGGACUAAUGUCUACAUUCAGGUUUUAGCUGCCAACCUGACUUCCUAAUACCAUGUGCUUCUGGACCGACGCUACGUGUCCAUCUUAACAUUCAUUAAUCUCUUUGUAUUGUUAGACAAAAAAAAUAACCCUCUUCAAUCAAAUUUGGAGAAAGUGUUAGUAGCCAAAUUCAUAUCAAAUGGUUAAUCAUUUUAAGACUGGGCUUGAUUAAAUGUCUUUCCUCCUUUGCAUUCAGACAGUCAAAUUCUUUAGUGAGAAGGUACACUAUCUCCAUCCAUGUUCUUUAUCUAGUGAGCUCAAUGCAAAAUGGAGGAGUAGCCACUUUGUCUAGGCACCAAGGUGCCUUAUAAAUAACAUUAAUACGAUUUUUAGAUCAAUCAUUAAUACUCUUUCUGUAUCCAUCAGUGUGUUGUCCUGCCUGUGUGUGGGCAAUUGUGAGGUUCACCUUUUUUGUAAAGGUGCUCCAUAGAUCAGAUGACCACCAUGCUGGAGAAUGGAGACAGCCAUAGGGCCAUUUUCUACUUCCCUGCCUUCUGAUUCAUUGAGCAGGCAGCAGAACCAGACCGUCUCCACCUACUACUUGCACUGAAUGACACGCCUCUAUGAUCACACCACCUGCAGGUCCUUAAAGCAAUUCAACAGGAGGCGGAGGAGGGCUGCAGAAACCCCCAUCGGCCAGGAUGGGAUUUCAGAUUAAGCUCUCUUCAGCUCAGGACCCAUCAAGACCAUGGCAGAGAGCUCCUCUUACUUCCAAAGAAGAGGGUUUCUCUCUUUCUCAGCCUCUCUUACUUCCAAAGAAGAGGAUAUGUUUUUUCUUUAUCACAUUAACUCUAUCAUAUGACAGCAAACCUUUCACUUUUAAAGUGGUGAACAUCAUUCUAACAGGAAGGACAGAGCUGCUCAGAAGCUCUUCCAUUGGCUGUUGGUGUAAUGUACUGUAUCGUGUUGCUCCCUCUCCCCUUUGUGCACAGCGCUUUCUGGUGGCCAAGGGAGCGGCCGGGGUGUAUCUGUUGGCCUGGAGAUUGCCAUGGCAGUUGUCAUUGUGGUUGGUGUGGCUGCUCUAAUGAUGGCCUUUUAUUGCAAAAGGAUGUGGUUAAGCUAAUGCCAGUGCCAGACUGCCAUGCCAAAGCCCUCAUCAGGAGACCGAGACAUGACAUGAGUUCAACAGGGUUACAUUUCAGUACUGCUGUAUUUGAUUUAUUUAUUUUUAUUUAACUAGGCAAGUCAGUUAAGAACAAAUUCUUAUUUACAGUGACUGCCUACCAAAAGGCCUCCUGCGGGGACGGGGGCUGGGAUUACAUUUUUUUUAAAUGUCUAUAUAAAUAUAGAACAAAAGAGUAGUGUUCUCUUGUACUCACUCAACCUUGACUAUUGCUUUGGCGUCAUUUAUGUUUCUUUGGGCCUCUUGAGAAACUGUUACAGGGUCGGUAACAUGAACAUUCUCAUUGGUUUAAAACAUUAUGGAUAUCCCAGGUAAUAACUGUGCUAACAAGUAGGGUGGACCGUGACCAUUGUAAACACAGAUAGUUGACUACUGACCCUGUGAGAAACCUAAGCUUUAUAUGUACAAUGCAGAGCUGCAUUUUAAAGUAUUGUUCAACUUUAGGUUAUUGUAAUCUUGAUCUUUUGUUGUGCAUGUUAUAUGGAAAGAUGGGACAUGUAGAAUUAAAUAUUGGUAGCAAGUGAGUGUACCCUGCAUUCAAGUGAUAUAAGAUGCCAUAAGGAUGAGAAAGUGGCAUGUGUAUGUCUUUAAAAAAAUCCAUAUUCCAGAAAUAUGAAGAUUAAUUUGGCUAUUUAUUUCCAAGAAAUGCAUGCACGUGAAGUCAUGAUCUUUAUAUCCAAAUUAAGUUAGACUAAGGACUGCAAACUUUCCUUUCUAAAAUAGGACUCUUUCAAAUAAUCUUACACGUAUGACGUCCUAUAACUUUCAGGCUUGUGUGAUUCUUGUAUUAUGGAUACUCAGGUGGGUUUCUCUGGCUUUACUUUUGGAUUGAUGUUUAAAAUGUAUCUUGUGAAAACUGUUCUGUGAAACCUUUGCUUAUUUCCAAGAAGUGAAUGGUUUUAGUUAUGUACAGUUGGGCAAAAAAGUAUUUAG
Oncorhynchus tshawytscha (Chinook salmon) is the source of this 2314-nucleotide long non-coding RNA. RefSeq lists it as uncharacterized. The record is from RefSeq and is a predicted model, not a curated record. NCBI's taxonomy places the organism in Eukaryota, Metazoa, Chordata, Actinopteri, Salmoniformes, Salmonidae. The transcript is spliced from 6 exons.